This is a long non-coding RNA of Oxyura jamaicensis (ruddy duck), 889 nucleotides long. RefSeq lists it as uncharacterized. The record is from RefSeq and is a predicted model, not a curated record. The transcript has 4 exons. NCBI's taxonomy places the organism in Eukaryota, Metazoa, Chordata, Aves, Anseriformes, Anatidae.
CCACUGAACCAUGUCCCCAGGCACCACGUCCAACCUUUCGUGCACGCAUUUCCCCCUGCCCAUACCUGUGAGGAGCACCAGACAUUCCUCCAGUACCUCUCACUGGGGAUUGUGUAGGCUUCUUUCAGGUUACAGAUGCUGCAUGGGGGGAGCAGAAGCAUGAAACCCAUCACCGCCCAUUCUUGCCCGCUUCACUAAAAGGUUUUUCCAAGCACCUGUGGGUAGAUGUUGCUGCUCACAGGACCUGAAUAGGCAGGACAGACAAGACCCCCAGCACACACAGACCUGUUUAAAACAUCUAUUUACCUUUGUGGAGAACGUGCUGAGGCUUUUGAGAAUGGAUGAGGGAAGGUAAAACCUGCUUCUAAAGGAAGAUCAGUAGCUAGACACCAAGUACCUCCCUACUUCCAAAGCAUACAAAGAUGAACAUUUUUGAUAUGUGUAUGCAUAUCUUUUGUCAAAGGAGACAUAUAUCAGACUUAUGAGAGAGAGUUGAGGGGUUUUUUGAGCUACCUUCAACCCAGUCUUUUACCUCACUCUUCAUUUCUGACUUCAUUGCAAAUCCAUUAUGGAUAAGGAAAGCAGCCUUAAAACCUAAUUAAGAGCUGGAGUCCUGAGCUCGCAGCCUUGCAGCUAUGAAACAAUGACCUCAGCGCAAGCAAUAAGAUAGGAGGUAGAGUAAUCCCUAUUUAAGCAGGAAGCUGGCAAAUAAUGCUUUUUAAAUCAUUUAAAUGUGCAGCAUGCUGAGCUGACGGUGUUUGAGGCUGGAGGGGAGCUGAAGUAGCCAUGCUAAGAGCUUUAUCUGCUCCCCGGGGCUGGAGAGGCACCCUGCAAGCAGAGGUGCUGGGAGCCAGAGGAGCACAGUGUCUUCACACACAAUUUUUUGUCU